RNAcentral lists this ribosomal RNA (497 nucleotides) under uncultured Glomeromycotina. RNAcentral's name for it is "partial small subunit ribosomal RNA". It matches the Rfam family "Eukaryotic small subunit ribosomal RNA", at positions 591 to 1092 of the family's 1831-position model. Lineage: Eukaryota; Fungi; Glomeromycota. The record is from RNAcentral.
CCAAUAGCGUAUAUUAAAGUUGUUGCAGUUAAAAAGCUCGUAGUUGAAUUUCGGGACCAAUAUGUCGGUCGUGCUUCGGUACGUACUUGCAUUAUUGGUUUCUCCCUUCUGAAGAACCAUGAUGUCAUUAAUUUGGUGUCUUGGGGAAUCAGGACUGUUACUUUGAAAAAAUUGGAGUGUUUAAAGCAGGCUCACGCUUGAAUACAUUAGCAUGGAAUAAUGAAAUAGGACGUUUGAUUCUAUUUUGUUGGUUUCUAGGAUCGACGUAAUGAUUAAUAGGGAUAGUUGGGGGCAUUAGUAUUCAAUUGUCAGAGGUGAAAUUCUUGGAUUUAUUGAAGACUAACUACUGCGAAAGCAUUGGCCAAGGAUGUUUUCAUUAAUCAAGAACGAAAGUUAGGGGAUCGAAGACGAUCAGAUACCGUCGUAGUCUUAACCAUAAACUAUGCCGACUAGGGAUCGGAUGAUGUUAUUUUUGAUGACUCAUUCGGCGCCUUACG